AUUCCAUAAUAAGGGCACCCUCGUAAUAACUCUUUGUACCUUUCCCAUGCCUCAUAUAGGGACUCAUCAUUCAUUUAUUGGAAGGCAGUGACCUCAUUCCUCAACUU
Gossypium raimondii (Peruvian cotton) is the source of this 107-nucleotide non-coding RNA. NCBI's taxonomy places the organism in Eukaryota, Viridiplantae, Streptophyta, Magnoliopsida, Malvales, Malvaceae. The record is from Rfam.